Pangasianodon hypophthalmus (striped catfish) is the source of this 262-nucleotide long non-coding RNA. RefSeq lists it as uncharacterized. NCBI's taxonomy places the organism in Eukaryota, Metazoa, Chordata, Actinopteri, Siluriformes, Pangasiidae. The transcript has 3 exons. The record is from RefSeq and is a predicted model, not a curated record.
AAGGUGGGUGACAGUCUAUCCUUAUUGGCUCAUUGGUGUGUGAUUGUCACCCACAAUAGCCUAUUAGAAUCGGUGUUCGCGGGUAUUUAAGCCUGACGGUAUGUCAUUUGGCGUGCAUCAUCGCUAGGACCGCCCUCUUCCGGAUUUCAUCUGCACCUGUGUAGUGUGCGGUGAAUGGUCAUUUGAUGUUGCGCUGGGUUGCCGGCUGUCCAUUUGCAUGUCAGCUGUGAGAUUUUUCUGGGGAUGUGUCUACCUGCUUGAG